UUAAGUUCAAACAUAUUCUAAAAGAUCUACAUUUUCUUUUUUACUCCCCUCUCCCACAUUUUGUGUUUUUGAUGUCAUAUUUUACAUCUUCAUGCUUAUCUCUGCUGUUUAUUGUAUUUAUAGUUGCUUUCACUUUUUUUUAAAUCUAUAUAGUGGCUUAUUUAAAUGACCUUCAGUCCUUAUAAUAAAUUUGCCUUUCCUAUUGAGAUUUCCCUUUUUCACAGCUCUUACUUCUUUUCCAUUUAGAGAAGAUCCUUCAACAUUUCUUUAAGGGUAGGUUUAGUAUUGCUGAAUUCUUUUAGUUUUUGCUUAUAUGAGAAGUUCUUUGCCUCUUCUUCUAUUCUAAAUAAUAAUCUUGCUGGGUAGAUUCUCCUAGGUUGCAGGUUUUUCCCUUUUAGGCCUCUGGAUAUAUCAUGCCACUCCCUUAUGGCUUGCCAAGUUUCUGCAAGGAAAUCAGCUGAUAGCCUUAUGGGGAUUCCUUUGCAUAUGACUAUUUUUCUCUUGCUGUCUUUAGAAUUCUCUCUUUAACUUUUGCCAUUUUAAUUAUGAUGUCUUUGUGUGGGUUUUUGGGGUUCAUUUUGUAUGGGAUCCUCUGUGCUUUCUGUACCUAGAUAUCUGUUUUCCUCCUUUAGGUUUUGGAAGUCUUCAGCCAUUAUUUCUUCAAAUACAUUUUUAACCCUUUCUUCUCCUUCUGGAACCUGUAUAAUGUGAAUAUUGGCACAUUUUAUAUCAUCCUGUAGAUCUUGUAUGCUUUAUUUAUUUUUUUUUCUGUCUUUCUGGCUGCCAUUCUGAUUGGAUGAUUUCCAUUGUUCUAUCUUCCGGAUCACUUCUGUGUCAUUUAGUUUGCUAUCAAUGCUUAUAGAGUGCUUUUUUAUCUCCGAGAUUGAAUUACCAAUUUUUGAUUGAGUCUUCUUUAUAGUUUCUAAUUCCUUGUUAAAUGAUCUGUGCUUAGAUCAAUUCUCUUUCUUAAUUCAGUUAGCAUAUUUAUUACCAACUUUUUGAAUUCAUUGUAGACCAUCUCCUUUUCAUUAUUUCUGCAGGGGUUUUCUCUUGGUCUUUCAAUUGAGAGUAGUUUCUCUGCCUUUUCAUUUCACUUAACUUUCUCUGUCUCUGUGAAUUUAAGUGGAACGGUUAUCUGUUGUGGUCUUGAAGGGGUGUUUUUAUGCGGGCGCAUUCCUAUGUAGACUGGGUGUGCCCAGUGUCUUUGGUGUGAAGAUUGGAUUUGAUGUGGAUGCCAGCCAUGUCUUUCCACAGGUUGUGCUGGCUACUAUCGUCUUGAUAAGAGGGUAUGGCUGGUGUUGGAGGAGGUAAAGCCUGUGCAAGGUGAGGUGACACUUCCUCUCUUCUCACUGGCUGCAGUCGUCCUGUUGGGCAGGGUCUGCUCUCAAGUUGCUGGAGCAGAAGCUCUGAGGGUUGGGCUGGAGCUGGCUCUGUUCCCUUCAAGUGUGUGUUUUUCCUUCUCUCUACUCUGGGGACUUUGCCCUGAAGGAGGGAAGCACUGAAGUAAGCAGGGUUUGUGUGCUAACAGAGCUUCAAUGAGCUGCUUGUGUAGGCAUCUGUGGCUCUGCUCAGAUGGAGCCCAAGUUUGUGUCUUUCUUCCUGUUGUGGACAUCCCAGAUGUAGUACAAACUUUUGGUGUGGACUGGGCGAGGAUAGAGCAUUUGCUCAGCUGGGACCAGGGAACGUGGCAUUGUGGUUGCGGGAAGUGAAGCUGCCGUCAGAAGUUGGGGCUGCUUCUGUAGUGCUGUUUGAGUAACUGUCAACAAUGGCUGCUGCUGCCCCACUUGUACCACACCCCAGGCCCCGCGGCCACCUCUGUGUCCCUAGAUCUAGUCUUUCCCCAGGACCUGGAGCUGCCCUAGAUCCAGUGCCAAGCUGUGGUAGGGAGUAAGUGGAGCCAGGGUUUUCACUCAGCUUGGGCUGGGGAGCCCAGUGAGGUGGCAGCUGCAUCUGUGCAUUCCUCACAAGUGGGGCCUAGGCUUCACCCUUCCCGUCAGUCCCAACUGUUCUCCAAGCAGCCAAGGGGUCUUGUCUCCUCCACAUAGGACCCCAGGACUGUCGCUUAACCUGCUCACUCCCCAGGGUGAGGACCUACCCCUGCAAGCUCCCUCUUAAUCCCCUCCCAGGACACAGGUCCUGAUCUGAUGCUUUUCCUCCCAUUCUAUCGGUUUAUGCGGAAUCUUUCUUGCAGUCUUGGUUGUAUGGGAGUUCUGCCAGUUUCCAGGUAGUUUUUGUUGAGAAUUGUUCCACAUGUAGAUGUAUUUUUGAUGUGUUUGUUGGGGGAAGUGAGCUUACCCUACCAUCUUGAUCCUUCCUCCCUCUCUCCCGUCCCCACUUCUCCCUUUCUCUACUCACAGAACCUGUGGUUCCUGGGGUUCUUUUUCAUCUACCCCAGGAGCAGGAGUCUUGUGCACAUUCAUCUGGGCUUGGACCCAGCAUUAUCAUAAUUUGGCACCUUUCAAAGAGUGUCUGUUGGCAGCUUUCAUCCAUUUGUUUAACAAAUACUCAUUAGAGGCCUACUCUAAGCUCCAUCCUGGUCUGGGGCUACUGAGGUGAAUAAGACAGAUGUGGCCUCUGCUCUCAUGAAGGUUAGUAAGGGGAGAAAGGAAUGAGAAAAUACACAAGGUGAUUUCGGUGAUACGUGCCAUGAGGGAAAGAAAGCAGGGUGCUGGGGGAGAAAGUGACAGGCUGUCAAGGCAGGCCUCACAAAGGGGUGACACUUGAGACCUAGAUGAUCAGAUUGCAUCAACACCAGGCAGGAUUCUUUGUUGCAAAUAACAGGCUUUGACUCUGGUGAACGUAAGCAGAAAAGGAAUAUGCUGGAAGGGUAUCAGGUAGCUCAGAGAAUGGGCGGAAGGCCUGGAAGAUUAGGCUGGCCACAGAGGCGGUUGCUAAAGGAGGCUGGUGGCCAAAACACUGACUGACCAAAGUCGUGCCACAGAGGACUCUAGUUAGGACCCGGCCACCACUGCUCUGGAUACUGACCUUGAACCCUGGACCCACUGGCAUGCCUCCACCAGAGGGACCUCCAAACUGGGCCUGAUGGCCUGCCCCAGACCACAGGUUUGUUCACAGGUGAGCAGGAGUUCACAUCCCUCGCAUGCAGAGUGAAAGCCACAGUCUUCAUAGUCCUACGUGAGCCAGUGCUCGGUUCCCCUAUGUCCUUGUCUACUGCUCUUCCCUGCUCUGCCCACGCGGGUCUCCUUGCAAGUCCUGUCCCGCCAAGCCCACCCCCACCUCUUGGGGCACUGGCUCUUCCCUCCAUUCGGAACACUUUCCUCAAGUCUCCCCCUAGCUCCCUCCUUCACCAAGUCUUAGCACCAAGUCACCUUCUCUGGAGGCCACCUGACCUCCUUAUUUAAGCCCAACCUUCCCAGCCCACAUGAUUCCUUUAUACCCUUUUUUCCCCUUGUCAUCUUUUAAUAUAUCAUUAUUAUAUUUACUAUUUAUUUACCGUCUCACUGAUGAAUCUGCCCCAGGUACCUAGACCAGUGGCCGGCCUUACAGUUAACACCCCACAGCUGCUGGGUGAAUGCAGAGAUGACUGCAUGGUGUGCUGAUCCUGCUGUAACAGGUCUUGGGAGGCAUGAGUUUAAGGACGGUUUCUGCAGCCGUCACAUGAUAGCAAAACGGUGGUAAGCAGUGCACGAGUCUGCGUCGAAGACAGCCAGAGUCCAUGCAUCGGGAGGUUCUCUCCGUUGGAGAAGAAACAAAGGGAGGACAUGCUCGGGCCAGGAGAUGCAGUUCCUCGUUCUCGCCACUAGAGGUCAGGAGGUUACCGCUUCGGAAUUGGAAGACGGGCCCGAGGGGUAUUGGCUAGUGGUGGCGGUGGACGGGACUAGGGAGAGGGUAGGGGUGCAGGUGGAUGUCGAGCGAGCAUCUGGCGACCCCCUCGUUACUGACACCUGACUUUGGAAUGACUUUUUUUUGCUUCAAAUUCCUUGACUGUGUAGGGCUGAUGGGCCAGAGGAAAGAUGCCAGUUUGGGGUCAAAGGCAGAGCUGAUACUGCAGCUUCUCAAAGCGAUUUUUCUUUAAUAGAGAUACAAUCUGCAAGGGUUCCAGAAUAGUGCCAGAGUCCUAGUGGAGGUUCUGUCACUGCCUGGGGGGCCUCCUGCCCCUCCUCCUCUAGGGUUGGCUGUUCAGAAGACCCACCUCCCAGCCCGACUGUCCCUAUGGUCAACUGGAACCAUUUUUCAGGCCUAAGUCUGUAGUAGAAAGCCUCAGACCAGGUGCCUUGAGUUCUUGUCCCAGCUGGGCCCUGUACAGGCACCUGCUUGCUGGGCCUCAGCUUCUCCAUGUGUCUGAUAAGGAAGCUGUCCUAGAUAAGGCUCUAGGCGUACUUCUAACUUUGCCAUUCAGCAUUUCCAUGUGUUCACAGGGAUCCUGUGAGGCUCCUCUCUGAAUGAGGCCACCCCCAAAAAGGCAAAGCUAAGAAGAUACCCAGACCUCACCCAGACACAAGGCUCCUCAAAAUAGACCAUCUCUCUCUUAUUUUGACUUUAGGCUCCCAGAGUUUCCCCCAUUCCAGCUGUAUGGAGAAAAGUGAAGACCUUGUCUCAGUCCCCUCAAGGAACCAGGGCCUGGCUCACAGGUUCAGAGGCUCAGUGGCUGAAUUCUGGGACCGGGCAGUAGACUGCUGAGGAAGCCCUAAGUGGCACAAACGAUUUCAAAGCCAUCUAGAAGACAAGGCAGCUGGACCACAGGCUGAGUCCCCACACCUCCAUCACCCACUGGAGUUUACCGUGUCUUCACCUGAGUAUCUCUGCUGAGCCCUAACAGCCCAAAAGGGAGGAGACUGGGGAGUACUGUCCCCCAGGCAACCGGAGGACAUGGCAGUCAGAAGACCUGAGCUUCAGUCCUGGUUCACUCCCUCGCAGCUGUGUGACACUGGUAACUACUCAGCCUCUCUGAAUCUGUUUCCUCAUCUAUCAAACGGGGAUGAGAGUUAAGCCCAUCUCAUAGGGUUGUGAAGAAUCAUUUAGACAGUGCAUGUAAAACCCUUGUCAUGCACAAAGACUUCUUAGGAAAAAAACGAAGGAGGUGGGGCAGGGGCCAUGAACAUGGUCUGCCCCAGCUGUGGUAGCGCUGGAAGGCCUUGGGUGAGUCGCUUUCCCUUUCUGGGCUCCGUUUCCCAUCACUGCAGUGAUGGGUUGAACACAAAAAUUCCUGGGUUCUGCAUUUGUUCAUCCAGUAUUGAAGACCCCUUGGUUGGCAGGAAGAGUUUGGGGCUUCAGGCCUGGGCCCAAGAUUCUGAUGCCCUCAACCCCUUCCUGGAGACCCUGACCUGGGGUGCAGGGUGGCUCUCUUUCUACUUCUGGAGGACAGAGCCAGCCCUGCAGGCCUUCCCAGAAACAAGGCCCUGGACUGCUGCCAAAUACUCCUGAAAGGGACAGCAGUAGGGUGAGGAUGUGCAGGCCACCACCUGGGGUCCUGCACUUCCCAACUCUGAACCCAGAAGGGCCUGGGUGGAGGGUGAGAACAGGAGGACUUUUUUAUUCUUUUUGUGGAAAGAAAAAGGGACUCUCUUCUUGACUGUAGCUGACCUGAUGCCUCUGGGAACAAGAGGCAGGAUCCAGCUUCCUCAGGAGGAGAAAGAGAUCCAAAGGUGGGAGUGCUGGGCCUGUGUAAGCCUCCCCCCAUGGCUACAAAUCCAGGUUGGCCUGGCAGCUAGAGGUGGGGUGGGAGCAGGGCUGAGUGUCAUGGCCCCUGUGUUCCACUCCUACCAAACCUUUCCCCUGCUUCCCGCCCAGAGAGACCGGUCCCCGACAUGCACUGGCCUCCCCCCGUUGUCUGCCUAGAAGCUGCACUCACCCUUCAAGGACUUGCUGAAGCAUCACUUCCUCCAGGAAGCCCUCCCUGCUCUUCCAGCAGUCAGUCCAGAAUCUGCAGCACGUGCAGGUAUCUGGAAUUAAGCAGAUAAGCAGAGGAUGGGACAAAGCUCUGGGUACACAUGGAGCCAGCGGGGCUUGGAAGAGCUUUGUCCCUAAGGAGAGAUUCCCCGGCCCCUGUUUGUCCUAAUCAUUGGAUGUCCCCAGCACUGCUCUGUGGGAAAAGGUGAGUGGUCAGCUGCAGUGGCAGAAGCAAGUGGUUCCUUCAUCACCUGGACCCCCUGUUCACAGCGGCUUCCUGAGGCUUCCACAGAGCCCCUCCGUCUCUCCUCCUAGGAAAGAGGAUUUCCCUAUUUCUGAAAGUCUCAUUUUCACAAACACAUUUCCCACCAGAAGAACAUUUUUAGCAGAGUUGGUCCCUUGUUAGAGCUUCUCUUUUUUAAAUAGCAGAUUAUGAAGAUAGAAUUUGCAAGCUAUACAAUUCAUUCUUCUCCAGGGUAUAAUGCAGCAGUUUUUAGUAUAGUCCCCGAGUUGUACAACCAUCGCCGCUACCUCACUGUAGCUCUGAGGAAGGAAAAAGUCCUUUUGGGCAGUAACAGUGCUGUUUCCUACAGGGAGAGGGAAGCCCUACUUGCAGACCUGUCCCCUCCACAGGCAUCAGUGCCUUAGACUUUGAUGCAGAACAGCUGUCUUCAUCUGGGGCUGAGAGAGGUGGUGGGACUUGCCCAGGGUCACACAGCUGGUGCUCAGAAGUCAGGACCUCUCCUUUGCAAAGCCGCUCACCCUGUCCCUGCAUGGACACCAGAGUGACAGUUGCCCUGCUCCUCCUGAGGGCGUGGACCUCAUCUGUCUUACCUGCCACCAGCUGCCUGGUGCCCUGCCCAGGUGGGUCAGUGAACACAGAAAGUGGUGGUGUUAUUAUUACAUAAGUCAUAGGGGUUCAUUAUAGAAACACUGGAAAUAUGUAUUGACAGAAGUUGGGGGUGGGGGAGAGAAAUGAAGACAUGGUCGCACAAAUACCUGUUCUUUAGCAGCUUUAUACAGCUAUCAACAAUUGGAAACCACCGCGUGUUCUUCAACAGGAAGUGACCUGGCUGACAGCUUUUCAGAUUCUCUACCUGACGGACGACUGCUUGGCAGUACAGACCUACAGACCGAACUCCAGGCGCACACACCCCGCCACCGGCUCUCCAAAGUGUUAGGUUAUGUGGGAGAAGCUGGAGUCAAAAGGCAACAGCCACACUGCGCAGUUGCCUUUAUAGAAAAUCUGGAAAAGGCAAAACUAUUGGGACAGAAAAUAAAUCAACGGUUGCCUGGGGCCGGGGACCCUUCUAGGGCGACAGUAUCUGUAUCUUGACCAUGGUGGUUAUGAGACUGUCUACAUCAGUCCCAACUCAGGGGGUGAAGCCUACUGUAUGUAAAUUAUCUCAAUAAAUCUGACUUUUUAAAACAA
Molecule: long non-coding RNA, 7282 nt
Organism: Camelus dromedarius (Arabian camel)
Lineage: Eukaryota; Metazoa; Chordata; Mammalia; Artiodactyla; Camelidae
Exons: 3
Source: RefSeq, a predicted model, not a curated record